GUCUUUUUGAAAUUUAAUAGAAAGUCUGACCUGCCCAGUGAUUAAUUUAACGGCCGCGGUAUACUGACCGUGCAAAGGUAGCAUAAUCAUUAGUCUUUUAAAAGAGGGCUGGAAUGAAAGGUUUGACGAAGUAUUAACUGUCUCAUCUUAUUUGAAAUUAAAACUUAACUUUUUAGUCAAAAGGCUCAAAUUUUAUUGGAAGACGAGAAGACCCUAUAGAGCUUUAUAUUAUUUAUUUUGAUUAAUUAUAUAUAAUUUUUAGUUAAAGUAUAUAUUAUUUUGUUGGGGUGACAAGAAAAUAAAAUUAACUUUUUUAACUACUUAACAUUAAUAUAUGAUUAUUUGAUCCAUUAUUAUUGAUUAUUAGAUUAAGUUACCUUAGGGAUAACAGCGUAAUCCUCCCCCAGAGUUCAUAUUUACGGGUAGGGCUUGCGACCUCGAUGUUGGAUUAAGAUAAUAAUUAGGUGUAGCCGCUUAUUUUAUAGGUCUGUUCGACCUUUAAAUUCUU
This 508-nucleotide ribosomal RNA is filed under the name Hemicordulia tenera vikhrevi. RNAcentral describes it as "partial 16S ribosomal RNA". It matches the Rfam family "Bacterial large subunit ribosomal RNA", at positions 1819 to 2597 of the family's 2925-position model. The record is from RNAcentral. Lineage: Eukaryota; Metazoa; Arthropoda; Insecta; Odonata; Corduliidae. RNAcentral also lists the same sequence under 1 other name.